Long non-coding RNA from Gallus gallus (chicken), 681 nucleotides. The record is from Ensembl. Lineage: Eukaryota; Metazoa; Chordata; Aves; Galliformes; Phasianidae.
GGGAAGAGUUUCUACCUGAAGAUCCUUCCUUUUGGAGUAUUAGAUGAGUCUUGAUUCUUGGGAUGAGGGAGUUGGAUGUGAUCAUCCUUAAAGGUUCCUUCCAGCUCUAAGGAGUCCUUGACUGGGGAAAUGGAACAGCGAAUAUACUCUGCCAAUCUCAGUGAUGGCAUUAACUGGAGUACUGUUGAACAACAAUAAAGCCUGCUUAAAGCGACCUCUGCUUUAACCACUAGAUCUUCAUCGAGGCAGAGAGGGUCUGACGGUGUUUCAGAAGUGAGAAGCUUUCCAUGCUGGCACUGUGAGCAGCCUUUGACCGAGGGGUGAGAGCCUCACCAUCCUGCACACGGAGUCCCAAGCAGCCUUAGAUUCCCUCCCAGCUGACAUCAAUGGCGGAACUUCUACGGGCUCAGCAAGGACAACUGCAAUUGUAAACAACAAAAACAGAAAUGAGUUUUUUGCUCCGCGGUAUGAAGCCAUUUUUAUAGAUUUCCAGAAUCAGCAGGCAUAAAAAUAAUCCAUCAAAGCACAUGGAGCUCCUUGACGGUAUUUUGGGGAUGCUAUAUGUCAGAAUGAUGAUUAGAGGGAUAGGCAGCCCUGGAGAUCACAGCUGUACUGCAAUGGAUUAGUACUUCAUUGUUUUGGGAUGACUUUGUCACUUCUGGAUUCUUGUUUGAAUUGGAG